UAACUUUGCCCGUGAAUGUUUGUCUAACUUCUGCCUCAUGAGCACCCAGUUUCAAUUCCCUGACAUAUGUCUAUGCUUUGCAAUUUGUAUCUUGUAGUCCUUGCCGGAGUUCUGCUGCUCCCGAACACAUGCCCUGAGGCAGCGUGCCUGCACAACCAGCUUCUAUCUGAAUGCUUCAGACAUGCGCUGCAUUCAGGGCAGGGACUUUUCUUGGACAGAGAAGCUGAGAAGUAUCAGAUAAAGAUGACCUGCAUGUACUGGAAAAUAAUCUGUGGUUUAUAUGUAGGCGGAUGGAAGCAAAUCAGGGAACAAAAGAAGAAUUUGUAG
RNAcentral lists this long non-coding RNA (327 nucleotides) under Gorilla gorilla gorilla (western lowland gorilla). RNAcentral describes it as "lncRNA (ENSGGOG00000044319.1)". The record is from RNAcentral. Lineage: Eukaryota; Metazoa; Chordata; Mammalia; Primates; Hominidae.